AAGGAUAUAUUCGGAACAUCUCGUAGAGAUGAGGRAUAACGUGACAUAUUGUAUUCAGUUUUGAAUGUUUAUUUUAAACAUUCWAYAACUAAAUGAAAAUUGCAUUCAAAAUUAUAUUUUGAUAUACUAUUUUGAUGUGAUUGUUUGUUURUUGAUUGUACAUUGAAAACUAGAUAAGUAAGUAAAAAUAGAUUUUACCAAGCAAAACCGAGUGAAUAAGAGUUUUAAAAAAGCUUGAAUUCAUAAAAUAUAAUCGCUAGUGUUCGAAAGAACACUCACAAGAUUAAUAACAGGUUUCUUAAAAUUAGAACUACGUUCUAAUAUGGUDGAAACAUA
This 336-nucleotide unclassified non-coding RNA is filed under the name Staphylococcus haemolyticus. Its description in RNAcentral is "16S-23S ribosomal RNA intergenic spacer". Lineage: Bacteria; Bacillati; Bacillota; Bacilli; Caryophanales; Staphylococcaceae. The record is from RNAcentral.